This is a transfer RNA of Termitomyces sp. J132, 73 nucleotides long. It matches the Rfam family "tRNA". Rfam says of the family: Transfer RNA (tRNA) molecules are approximately 80 nucleotides in length. Their secondary structure includes four short double-helical elements and three loops (D, anti-codon, and T loops). Further hydrogen bonds mediate the characteristic L-shaped molecular structure. tRNAs have two regions of fundamental functional importance: the anti-codon, which is responsible for specific mRNA codon recognition, and the 3' end, to which the tRNAs corresponding amino acid is attached (by aminoacyl-tRNA synthetases). tRNAs cope with the degeneracy of the genetic code in two manners: having more than one tRNA (with a specific anti-codon) for a particular amino acid; and 'wobble' base-pairing, i.e. permitting non-standard base-pairing at the 3rd anti-codon position. NCBI's taxonomy places the organism in Eukaryota, Fungi, Basidiomycota, Agaricomycetes, Agaricales, Lyophyllaceae. The record is from Rfam.
GCCUCAGUUGCUUAGUGGUCAAAGCACAAUUCUGAAGAAAUUGAGAUGGGCAGUUCAAUUCUCUCCUAAGGCA